Molecule: non-coding RNA, 26 nt
Filed under: Homo sapiens (human)
Lineage: Eukaryota; Metazoa; Chordata; Mammalia; Primates; Hominidae
Source: RNAcentral
UGAGAAGAGUGUCUGAUGAGUGGCAG